AGAACGAACGUUAGCGGCGCGCCUAACACAUGCAAGUCGCACGAGAAAGGGCUUCGGCCCCGGUACAGUGGCGCACGGGUGAGUAACACGUGGGUAAUGUUCCCUCAGGCGGGGGAUAACCUUCCGAAAGGAGGGCUAAUACCGCAUAAGACCACGGCCUCGAAAGAAGCUGAGGUAAAAGCAGGCCUCUUCACGAAAGCUUGCACCAGGGGAUCAGCCCGCGGCCCAUCAGCUAGUUGGCAGGGUAAAGGCCUACCAAGGCUAAGACGGGUAGCUGGUCUGAGAGGAUGAUCAGCCACACUGGAACUGAGACACGGUCCAGACUCCUACGGGAGGCAGCAGUGGGGAAUCUUGCGCAAUGGACGAAAGUCUGACGCAGCGACGCCGCGUGGGUGAUGAAGGCCUUCGGGUUGUAAACCCUUUCAGCAGGGACGAAGCGAAGUGACGGUACCUGCAGAAGAAGCGCCGGCUAACUACGUGCCAGCAGCCGCGGU
RNAcentral lists this ribosomal RNA (494 nucleotides) under uncultured bacterium. RNAcentral describes it as "SSU rRNA". It matches the Rfam family "Bacterial small subunit ribosomal RNA", at positions 26 to 521 of the family's 1533-position model. The record is from RNAcentral.